RNAcentral lists this ribosomal RNA (500 nucleotides) under uncultured bacterium. Its description in RNAcentral is "partial 16S ribosomal RNA". It matches the Rfam family "Bacterial small subunit ribosomal RNA", at positions 30 to 523 of the family's 1533-position model. The record is from RNAcentral.
AUUGAACGCUGGCGGCAGGCCUAACACAUGCAAGUCGAGCGGAGAUGAGGUGCUUGCACCUUAUCUUAGCGGCGGACGGGUGAGUAAUGCUUAGGAAUCUGCCUAUUAGUGGGGGACAACAUUCCGAAAGGAAUGCUAAUACCGCAUACGUCCUACGGGAGAAAGCAGGGGAUCUUCGGACCUUGCGCUAAUAGAUGAGCCUAAGUCGGAUUAGCUAGUUGGUGGGGUAAAGGCCUACCAAGGCGACGAUCUGUAGCGGGUCUGAGAGGAUGAUCCGCCACACUGGGACUGAGACACGGCCCAGACUCCUACGGGAGGCAGCAGUGGGGAAUAUUGGACAAUGGGGGGACCCUGAUCCAGCCAUGCCGCGUGUGUGAAGAAGGCCUUAUGGUUGUAAAGCACUUUAAGCGAGGAGGAGGCUCUUUUGGUUAAUACCCAAGAUGAGUGGACGUUACUCGCGGAAUAAGCACCGGCUAACUCUGUGCCAGCCGCCGCAGUAA